CGGUGAGUCCCAGGCCUGGCCUCCGUGGGCGGCUGACCGUGGACCAGCGGUGCCAGCUGUUUUCCCUGUGCAGUCAGGCCUGGCCCCGGCCCUCAGCCUGGCUGCCGCUGAGACUCCGGGAAGGUUUAACAGCUCCCGAUGCCCAGGCUGCACCCAGGUCUAUCAAACCCAAGCCCCUGGGUCAGCGCCCAGGCAUCGCCGUCUUCCGUGUCCCUCAGGAGACCCAAAGUGCCGCCAAGAUGGAGCACAGCGAUUCCUGCUGCAGAGAAUUUCAGGACCACAGGCAGCAGUCUGGGCCAGGAACAACCAUUAUGUGACCAUGCAAGAAACCAAGAGGACUGAAGCAUCCUGAGUUGAAGACAGAGCAAGGUAAGUGUAAAUAAAUAUAAGUCAGAGCUGACAGAACCUGUCU
This 412-nucleotide long non-coding RNA is filed under the name Fukomys damarensis (Damara mole-rat). RNAcentral's name for it is "lncRNA (ENSFDAG00000024033.1)". The record is from RNAcentral. Lineage: Eukaryota; Metazoa; Chordata; Mammalia; Rodentia; Bathyergidae.